UCCGGCCUCCUGUCAGGGAG
RNAcentral lists this unclassified non-coding RNA (20 nucleotides) under Mus musculus (house mouse). RNAcentral's name for it is "oocyte_clustered_small_RNA2723". Lineage: Eukaryota; Metazoa; Chordata; Mammalia; Rodentia; Muridae. The record is from RNAcentral.